UCUGGGCAUCACUGAAGGGAUUCUGUUCGAAUCUCGACCAGAACACCGACCGAUUAUUCUGGCUGAGGAUUUUCGUGGUUCUCCUCCGUCUCUCCGGACAAAUCUUGGGACAGAGAAGGAGAUACAGCACUGAGCGGCCUCCGGCGGCGUAACGUUCGUACCAGGCAACAGCUCGCUAAAUAAGUUCCAGCGUGCGACAAUGGAAGAUGUGUCUCAGUGGAUGAAUGUUAUAGCUCGUUGGUAGCCAACAGUCAGCGCGCCAAUGAACUCCCUGUGUAGGAAUGACGUCACUUGUGUUUACUGUGUUGUCCGUUUGGAGCCUAUAUAAUGAAGACCUGUUGUUGCUUAGAUUAGUGCAGUUCAGUGCAGUGUAGUGUAAGAGUUACUUGCAAGAGUACGGCUGUGAAGAGAAGACUUUAUGCGUAAUACUUGGAGUGUGUAAUUCAGUGCGACUGUUAUAGUUCCUGCGUUUUAGUUGCCUUGUCAAGAGACGACUGAUAUGUGUGUAACAGUGAAUUAUAAAGCGUAGAAAUAGCGAUAGCUAUUUAAUUACAUGUAACUAUUGGUGAUGAG
Cryptotermes secundus is the source of this 573-nucleotide long non-coding RNA. RefSeq lists it as uncharacterized. The record is from RefSeq and is a predicted model, not a curated record. NCBI's taxonomy places the organism in Eukaryota, Metazoa, Arthropoda, Insecta, Blattodea, Kalotermitidae. The transcript is spliced from 3 exons.